GGAAAGGGCGGGGUGCUAUACAUGCAAGUCGAGCGGAUGCUUCAUUUCGCUUGCUUUUGAAGAUCAGCGGCGGACGGGUGAGUAACACGUGGGCAACCUGCCUGUAAGACUGGGAUAACUUCGGGAAACCGGAGCUAAUACCGGAUAAUCCUUUCCCUCUCAUGAGGGAAAGCUGAAAGACGGUUUCGGCUGUCACUUACAGAUGGGCCCGCGGCGCAUUAGCUAGUUGGUGAGGUAACGGCUCACCAAGGCGACGAUGCGUAGCCGACCUGAGAGGGUGAUCGGCCACACUGGGACUGAGACACGGCCCAGACUCCUACGGGAGGCAGCAGUAGGGAAUCUUCCGCAAUGGACGAAAGUCUGACGGAGCAACGCCGCGUGAGCGAUGAAGGCCUUCGGGUCGUAAAGCUCUGUUGUCAGGGAAAGAAACAAGUAUCGGAGUAACUGCCCGGUACCCUUGACGGUACCCUGACCAGAAAGCCACGGCUAACUACGUGCCAGCAGCCGCGGUAGAUACGGUAGGUGGCAAGCGUUGUCCGGAAUUAUUGGGCGUAAAGCGCGCGCAGGCGGUUCCUUAAGUCUGAUGUGAAAGCCCCCCCGGCUCAACCGGGGGAGGGGUCAUUGGAAAACUGGGGGGAAACCUUGAGCUGCCAGAAGAGAGAAGCCGGCAACUUCCACGGUGUAGCUGAUUGCAAAUUGCGUAGAGCAUGUGGAGGCAAGCAGCAGUGGCCGUACGCAGCUCUCUGCUCUGGUAGCUGCACGGCC
RNAcentral lists this ribosomal RNA (765 nucleotides) under Bacillus sp. (in: firmicutes). Its description in RNAcentral is "bacterial SSU rRNA". It matches the Rfam family "Bacterial small subunit ribosomal RNA", at positions 30 to 747 of the family's 1533-position model. Lineage: Bacteria; Bacillati; Bacillota; Bacilli; Caryophanales; Bacillaceae. The record is from RNAcentral.